This 117-nucleotide non-coding RNA is filed under the name Fragilariopsis kerguelensis. Lineage: Eukaryota; Bacillariophyta; Bacillariophyceae; Bacillariales; Bacillariaceae. The record is from RNAcentral.
AGUCUACGAAUUUUUCCAUCAGGCCACACGGGACCCAUUUAAAGAGAUUCACCGUCGAUUGGAUAGUAUCCAUGAAAACACAACAGAGAUGAACAACAGCACUCGUGAUCUGUACAU